CCUACGGGAGGCAGCAGUGGGGAAUAUUGGACAAUGGGCGAAAGCCUGAUCCAGCCAUGCCGCGUGAGUGAUGAAGGCCCUAGGGUUGUAAAGCUCUUUUGUCCGGGACGAUAAUGACGGUACCGGAGGAAUAAGCCCCGGCUAACUUCGUGCCAGCAGCCGCGGUAAUAAUCGUC
Molecule: ribosomal RNA, 176 nt
Filed under: uncultured bacterium
Lineage: Bacteria
Description: partial 16S ribosomal RNA
Rfam family: Bacterial small subunit ribosomal RNA
Source: RNAcentral